RNAcentral lists this ribosomal RNA (254 nucleotides) under uncultured bacterium. RNAcentral describes it as "partial 16S ribosomal RNA". It matches the Rfam family "Bacterial small subunit ribosomal RNA", at positions 524 to 776 of the family's 1533-position model. The record is from RNAcentral.
UACAGAGGUCUCAAGCGUUGUUCGGAUUUAUUGGGCGUAAAGGGUGCGUAGGCGGUGGGGUUAGUUGGAUGUGAAAUGCCACGGCUCAACCGCGGCACGGCAUUCAAUACUGCCCUGCUAGAGCACUAGUGAGGAGGCUGGAAUUUACGGUGUAGCAGUGAAAUGCGUAGAUAUCGUAAGGAACACCAGUGGCGAAAGCGAGCCUCUAGAUAGUUUGCUGACGCUGAGGCACGAAAGCCAGGGGAGCAAACGGG